Molecule: long non-coding RNA, 611 nt
Filed under: Salmo salar (Atlantic salmon)
Lineage: Eukaryota; Metazoa; Chordata; Actinopteri; Salmoniformes; Salmonidae
Description: lncRNA (ENSSSAG00000083401.1, ENSSSAG00000103629.1)
Source: RNAcentral
GUGAGUCCAUUUGCGUGUCAUUGUUGUUGAUAGUGUCAAAGCCACAGCCUACGCUUCUGCCUCUGUGAUUGCCAGCCAGGGACAAUAAACUGGUGUCAUCUCAGAUAUUGUAUGUCGUUUGUGUUUAGUGUAGGGGCGGCAGGAAGCCUAGCGCCAGUUAGCCUAGCGGUUAGAGCAGGUAGCCUUGUGGUUAGAGCAGGUAGCCUAGUGGCAGGUAGCCUAGCGGUUAGAGCAGGUAGCCUAGCGGUUAGAGCAGGUUACCUAGUGGUUAGAGGCAGGUAGCCUAGUGGUUAGAGCAGGUAGCCUAGUGGUUAGAGGCAGGUAACCUAGUGGUUAGAGCAGGUAGCCUAGUGGUUAGAGCAGGUAGCCUAGUGGUUAGAGGCAGGUAACCUAGUGGUUAGAGCAGGUAGCCUAGUGGUUAGAGCAGGUAGCCUAGUGGUUAGAGCAGGUAGCCUAGUGGUUAGAGGCAGGUAGCCUAGUGGUUAGAGGCAGGUAGCCUAGUGGUUAGAGCAGGUAGCCUAGUGGUUAGAGGCAGGUAGCCUAGUGGUUAGAGGCAGGUAGCCUAGUGGUUAGAGGCAGGUAACCUAGUGGUUAGAGGCAGGUAGCCUAGU